Long non-coding RNA from Bos taurus (domestic cattle), 2645 nucleotides. NCBI's taxonomy places the organism in Eukaryota, Metazoa, Chordata, Mammalia, Artiodactyla, Bovidae. The record is from Ensembl.
AUCAGUCCUUGCAACAGCUCUGUGGGGUCAGACAAUCUUGAUUUAACAAUCUGGACACUGCUACACUGAGUCACAUGGAUAGGAAAAUGGUUCAGCCAGACUUCAACUCAGAUCUUUUUUUUUUUUUUUAAUUGAAGUAUAUAGUAGAUUUACAAUAUUGUGUUAAUUUCUGCUGUACAGCACAGUGAUUCAGUUAUACAUAUAUGAUGUGGCGUGUGUGUGUCUGGCUCUUUGCAACUUCAUGGACUGUAGCCCUCCAGGCUCCUCUGUCUAUGGGUUCUUCAGGCAAGAAUACUAGAGUGGGUUGCCAUUUCCUUCUCUGGGGGAUCUUCGUGACACAGGGAUUGAACCCGUAUCUCUUAUGUCUCUUGCACUGGCAGGCAGAUUCUUUACCACUUGCGCCACCUGGGAAGCCCUAUACGUGUGUAUAUAUAUAUUCUUUUCUAUAUUCUUUUCCACUAUGGUUUAUCACAGGAUAUAGAAUGUAGUUCCCUGUACUCUACAGUAGGACCUUGUCUAUCCAUCCUAUAUAUAGUGGUUUAUAUCUCCUAAUCCAAGACUCGACUCUAUCCCUCCUCCACUCCCAACUCAGAUCUUUUUUAUUCAGAACUCAUUCUCUAAGCCAGUGGUUCUCAGUGGGGGCAAUUUGACCCCUAAGGACAUUUGGCAGUGUCUGGAGCAAUUUUGGUUGUCACACCUGUGGAGGAGGUACUGGCAUCUAGUGGAUAGAGACCAGGGAUGUUGCUAAGCAUCAUAUAAUGCACACAAUGGCCCUCACAGCAUAGAAUUAUCUGGCUCCAAAAGUAGAUAGUGCUGAGGCAGCGGAAACUUGCCUUAAACUAAUACUACACAAAAUGUGGUUCUUGGACCAACAGCUUCUGAAUCACUUAGAAGCUUGUUAGAAAUGCAGAAUCACAGGCCCCAUACUAGAACUAGUGAACAGAAAGCUCCAGAACUGGGAUCCAGGAAUAUGUGUUUCAACAUGCCUUCUCCAUCCUUCUUGCACACUCAAAUGGGACAAGCUCUGCUGUGAAACCCCAGGCUAUUGUGUGUUAUAUUGAGCUGGACACAAUUGUAUGGUUUCCUCAUCACUUUCAGUGUUCCAUUGUUGAAUAGAAGUUUCUCUUCAGGCAUCCAAAAGGGGAAAGUCUGGCAUUUACUAGGAACAAGUGUGACUCAUGGGGAAAUCAGCACAGUUACAAACCCAGGAACCAUGCCCAGCUGAAAGUCUAGGGGGCUCUUUUUUUCCUGUUUUCUCAGCCUACGGAGGGAAGUCUUGGAGACUCAGUCCAAGUUAAAAAAAAAUGUGAGUCUAAGCACUGGUUUGGUUUGGGGUUUGAUUAUCUAAAAUUAGGCUUGCAAUUGAACUUAGUAAUGACCUGUUGAAGAGGAUAAAAUCCACAAAGUGUUAAAUUGAAAAUUGCAUGAGUUUCUGAUUUACUGACAGUUACCAAACAGAUCUUCAACUCUGUAUGUACAUUUUUUUGGACCAUGAAUUGUUUUUUGGAGAGCCAGUGGAAUCAGUAUUUUGAUCUGGGUCUCUUUUCAGAAAAAUUGCUCAUUACUUGGUAUUUUAUGUGAUUUGUGUGGGGAAUACAUCACAGGCAAGAAUGCAUUGUACAGAAUAAACAUUUCAGGCAAGACCCACAUACAUGUUCAGGUAGUUUGUGCUGCAGUGCCACACCAUUCUCUGCCUCAUUCCUUAAACAACACUGCCAGAACUUAAAAAAUAGCAUUUAUUUAAAAUUUGAAGAAAAACACAGUAUCCUCUAAUUUAGUCAUUAUAUUGAUGGACUCCUUUGAUUUCAGAAAGUUAAAAUUUUUGUAAAACCUUGAGAAGGUUUUCUAACUCGUCUGUUUUUUCCUUCACCAUCUAUAUUAAAGUUUAGAAGAAAUGAGUAUUCUCCUAAAGUAGUCUGUAAAGGUUGGCUGCAUUCAGAUCACUCAGCGUGGUAGACAAAUUCCCUGAUCUGCUUCUCCUGGGUCAAGGAUUGAGUAGCUGGGAUGCUCAGAAACCAUAUAUUUUAAAAAAUGUUUUUGAAGGAUAGUUGCUUUACAAUGUUGUGUCAGUUUCAGGUGUACAGCAAAGUGAAUCAGUUAUGCGUAUACAUAUAUCCACUCUUUUUUAGAGUCUUUUCCCAUAUAGGUCAUUACAGUGUAUUGAGUGAAACUAUAUUUUUUAAAACAGCCAAGUUUAGGAGCCAACACUAGAGUGUGAGUCUUCAGCAUCAAAUGUUUCCUAAUGUGAAGGAAUCAAACUGAUGCAUCUUAGUUAUGGUUAUAUUAUUUUGGUGGCAGAAUAUUUACUGUAAAUAUUUUAUACUGUUGAAUGGUCAAAAGUAAAAAUCAUUAAACCUAUAGGCUAACAUAUAUAUAGAAGUUCAAUAAAAAGCAUGUUAGUCACUCAGUCAUGUCUGACUCUUUGCAACCCCAUGGACUGUAGCCUGCCAGGCUCCUCUGUCCAUGGGAUUCUCUAGGCAAGAAUAAUGGAAGGGGUUGCCAUUUCCUUCUGCAGGGGAUCUUCCUCACCCAGGGAUCAAACCACGGUCUCCUGUAUUGCAGGUGGGCUCUUUACUGUCUGAGCCACCAGGGAAGCCCAGAAGUUCAAAAAGUUCAAUAAGGAUAAAUGCUUAUUGAGUAGAGGA